GAAUUGCAAAGGCGUAGCCAAUCCUCACUCUUUUUGACCCUGUUUGGUGCAACUUCUCGAGAGAAAAACGAUGACAAGGGGGAAACAAAAGAUCGAAGCGCAGAGAAAAAAUGCAGAGAAGAAUCAGAAAUCAAAAGGGUCUCAAUUCGAAGCUCGUGCUGUUGCUCUCAAAGUUAUAUGCCCCAUCUGUAAAGCGCAGUUAGCGAAUCAAAACCAGCUUGGUGAUCAUUACAGCUCCAAGCAUCCAAAGGAGAAGCCUCCAAGCAACUCUGAAUGAUCUGUUUGUGGUUUUGCAGAAGAAUUGGAUGUUAAGAUUUGUCAAAAUGUUUUCGAUUUAUAUUCAUCCAAUGCACUAAAUUUCUUGUCUUUAUGUUUAUAGGACCCGAUUACUCGUCUCUACAAGCGAAGAAAACGGUUAUGAGUGUGAAACUGGUGCAAAGUGUCUUGCCAGUUUUUGUCGUUCUCGUGUAAUUUUGCGUUGAUGUUUUGUCUUGUCGUGUGUCAUGUCUCGUGCUUCUUUUCUGUUAACGUUAGUGUCGUUGCGGAAACGGAAUAUAAGGAUAUAUAACCGAUUGUCAAGUUGUUGAGCAUAAAGAAAAUGUUAGUAAACAUAACGAUGUUCUUUUAGAUAA
Cynara cardunculus var. scolymus (artichoke) is the source of this 632-nucleotide long non-coding RNA. RefSeq lists it as uncharacterized. Lineage: Eukaryota; Viridiplantae; Streptophyta; Magnoliopsida; Asterales; Asteraceae. The transcript has 2 exons. The record is from RefSeq and is a predicted model, not a curated record.